This 369-nucleotide unclassified non-coding RNA is filed under the name uncultured Pseudomonadota bacterium. Its description in RNAcentral is "uncultured proteobacterium contains 16S-23S intergenic spacer region". Lineage: Bacteria; Pseudomonadati; Pseudomonadota. The record is from RNAcentral.
UCCGGUUUGUCACCGGCAGUCUCAUUAGAGUGCCCUUGCGUAGCAACUAAUGAUAAGGGUUGCGCUCGUUGCGGGACUUAACCCAACACCUCACGACACGAGCUGACGACAGCCAUGCACCACCUGUGAUCCUGCCCGUGAGGGAAGCCGUGUUUCCACGGCGGUCAGGAACAUGUCAAACCCAGGUAAGGUUCUUCGCGUUGCGUCGAAUUAAUCCACAUAAUCCACCGCUUGUGCGGGUCCCCGUCAAUUCCUUUGAGUUUUAACCUUGCGGCCGUACUCCCCAGGCGGUCAACUUCACGCGUUAGCUUCGUUACCAAGGAAUUGCUUCCCCGACAACCAGUUGACAUAGUUUAGGGCCAAGACUAC